UAAGAGUGGGGCCCUAGUCUGAUAGGACUGGUGUCCUUACAAGAAGAGGGAGAGUCCUCAGAGAGUCCUCUCUCUCGGCAUGGACACAAAAGAAAAGCAUGUGAGGACACAGAGAGAAGGUGGCUGUCUACGAGCUAGGAAGAAAGGCCUCACCGGAAACCAACCCUCACAGCAGCUCCAUCUUGGACUUCCAGCCUCCGGAACUGUGAGAAAAUAAAUGUUUGCAAUUCAGGCUCAGAGCCACUCAGACAUUGGGAAGCAAGUUUGUCAAGAUGACAGAGAACCGAGGUAAUGGAUUCGAGUGAUGAAACAGGAAGUUCAUUCAUGAGUUUUUGGCCACACCUCCAAAGUGACGACUUAGCCAGAAAUGGGAUAACUGGGUUUCCCUACUUCUCUUUUAUCAUCCUCAAUGAGAGUGACCAAAUAUUAGAGCUAGAUGGAACCUUAGUGAAAAUCUGGCUACUCGUCCCGUCCCACCAGCCUGCCACCCAUUUCAAGUUUGAAGAGACAAAGACACAUGGACCUUAUGUAAUUACUGGGGAUUACCCCAGGAGUCUGUGGCAAAAGUCAGCUUCUUCCCUCCCUGCUUCCCCGCCCUGUCUCUGGUGCUUUCUACCAACACUGGGCUGUUUCUGUGAUCAUACUUAAGCGUACCUAACCUGUGAAUGCUGUAUAGAAGGUGCUAAUGAACAUGAUUUAGCUUUAACACUCAGUUUUCUAAAGGGACACGUGGGGGCAGCAAAUGUUUAGGGAAAAACAAUUCCAGUUCUAGCCUCUACUGUCUACAUAUGUGUAUACAUUUUGGAAACGUUUGGAAAAGGGAUAUUUGAGAGCUUCUUUUUCUUUUUUGUGGUUUAGUUAUUUGAUGAUAUUGAGAUUGUUUCUGAGCCAUGUGCUUCAACAUCGGAUUGGGGAUUUCAGAAAAAGUUUUAGUCACUGUGAUUCAAUUUAGCUUCCAAAUGUGUCUCUGCUAAGAGACUUAAAAGCACUCAUAAAUA
This 998-nucleotide long non-coding RNA is filed under the name Pan troglodytes (chimpanzee). Its description in RNAcentral is "lincRNA". Lineage: Eukaryota; Metazoa; Chordata; Mammalia; Primates; Hominidae. The record is from RNAcentral.